AACCCUUGUCCUUAGUUACCAGCACGUUAUGGUGGGCACUCUAAGGAGACUGCCGGUGACAAACCGGAGGAAGGUGGGGAUGACGUCAAGUCAUCAUGGCCCUUACGGCCUGGGCUACACACGUGCUACAAUGGUCGGUACAAAGGGUUGCCAAGCCGCGAGGUGGAGCUAAUCCCAUAAACCGAUCGUAGUCCGGAUCGCAGUCUGCAACUCGACUGCGUGAAGUCGGAAUCGCUAGUAAUCGUGAAUCAGAAUGUCACGGUGAAUACGUUCCCGGGCCUU
Molecule: ribosomal RNA, 282 nt
Filed under: uncultured Pseudomonas sp.
Lineage: Bacteria; Pseudomonadati; Pseudomonadota; Gammaproteobacteria; Pseudomonadales; Pseudomonadaceae
Description: partial 16S ribosomal RNA
Rfam family: Bacterial small subunit ribosomal RNA
Source: RNAcentral